Molecule: non-coding RNA, 375 nt
Organism: Symphalangus syndactylus (siamang)
Lineage: Eukaryota; Metazoa; Chordata; Mammalia; Primates; Hylobatidae
Source: the annotation of a RefSeq genome assembly
AUGUGCCUCAGACUUCUCUGCUGUGUGGCCCUUUCUUUCUGGGGAGUAGGCUCCACGGACACCAAGGUCACCCAGAGACCUAGACUUCUGGUCAAAGCAAAUGAACAGAAAGCAAAGAUGGAUUGUGUUCCUAUAAAAGGACAUAGUUAUGUUUACUGGUAUCGUAAGAAGCUGGAGGAAGAGCUCAAGUUUUUGGUUUACUUGCAGAAUGAAGAAAUUAUUCAGAAAGCAGAAAUAAUCAAUGAGCGAUUUUCAGCCCAAUGCCCCAAAAACUCAUCCUGUACCUUGGAGAUCCAGUCCACGGAGUCAGGGGACACGGCACUGUAUUUCUGUGCUAGCAGCAAAGCCACAGUGCCGAAUGUUAGCCCUUCUUAG